GAAAAACUACCACAACAAGAGGACAUAGUCUUAAAUUAGAGGGACAAAGGUUUAAAAAUAAUAUCAGGAAGUAUUACUUUACUGAGAGGGUAGUGGAUGCAUGGAAUAGCUUUUCAGCUGAAGUGGUAGAGGUUAACACAGUAAAGGAGUUUAAGCAUGCGUGGGAUAGGCAUAAGGCUAUCCUAACUAUAAGAUAAGGCUAGG
Non-coding RNA from Pelobates cultripes (western spadefoot toad), 204 nucleotides. The record is from the annotation of a GenBank genome assembly. Lineage: Eukaryota; Metazoa; Chordata; Amphibia; Anura; Pelobatidae.